AGUCCCGGCAAACUACGUGCCAGCAGCCGCGGUAAACGUACGGGGCGAGCGUUAUCCGGAUUUACUGGGCGUAAAGCGCACGUAGCCGGCGCUGUAAUUUGGGCGUGAAAGCUCCCGGCUCAACUGGGAGAGCUCGUUCAAAACUGCAGUGCUUGAGGUUGGAAGAGGAGAGUGGAAUUCCCGGUGUAAUGGUGGAAUGCGUAGAUAUCGGGAGGAACACCAGUGGCGAAGGCGGCUCUCUGGUCCAACCCUGACGCUGAGGUGCGAAAGCGUGGGGAGCGAACGGGAUUAGAUACCCCGGUAGUCCACGCUGUAAACGAUGGAUACUAGGUGUGGGAGGUUACUUACCCCUUCCGUGCCGUAGCUAACGUGAUAAGUAUCCCGCCUGGGGACUACGGCCGCAAGGUUAAAACUCAGAGGAAUUGACGGGGGCCCGCACAAGCAGCGGAGCGUGUGGUUUAAUUCGAUGAUACGCGAAGAACCUUACCUGGGCUUGACAUGUUGGUAGUAGUGAAGCGAAAGCGGAUCGACCCUUCGGGGAGCCAUCACAGGUGCUGCAUGGCUGUCGUCAGCUCGUGUCGUGAGAUGUUGGGUUAAGUCCCGCAACGAGCGCAACCCUUGUCGUUAGUUACAUGUGUCUAGCGAGACUGCCGGUACCAAACCGGAGGAAGGUGGGGAUGACGUCAAGUCAGCAUGGUCUUUAUGUCCAGGGCUACACACACGCUACAAUGGCCGGUACAAUAGGUUGCCACACCGCGAGGUGGAGCUAAUCCCCAAAGCCGGUCUCAGUUCGGAUUGUAGUCUGCAGCUCGACUGCAUGAAGGCGGAGUUGCUAGUAACCGCGCGUCAGCAAUAGUGCGGUGAAUGCGUUCCCGGGCCUUGUACACACCGCCCGUCACAUCACGGAAGUCGGUAACACCUGAGGUCGGCGACCCAACCGCAAGGAGGGAGCUGCCUAAGGUGGGAUCGGUAACUGGGAUGAAGUC
This 986-nucleotide ribosomal RNA is filed under the name uncultured organism. RNAcentral describes it as "bacterial SSU rRNA". It matches the Rfam family "Bacterial small subunit ribosomal RNA", at positions 488 to 1487 of the family's 1533-position model. The record is from RNAcentral.